This is a non-coding RNA of Schizosaccharomyces pombe (fission yeast), 505 nucleotides long. The record is from the annotation of a GenBank genome assembly. NCBI's taxonomy places the organism in Eukaryota, Fungi, Ascomycota, Schizosaccharomycetes, Schizosaccharomycetales, Schizosaccharomycetaceae.
UUGACACAAAUACUGGUAGGUUCUGCAAUACCCUUUUCAAAACGUUGAGAUUUGUAAAUGGAAGAUUUCUGAUCUCUGUUAGUCACUAAAAUAUAUUAAAUAAUGGAAAGAACAAUUAUCGGAAUAAAUUUUGGAAGCAAGUUGCAAAAAAGAUUGUCAUCAAAAGAUGAACACGCUUAAAAGAAAAAAUGAACAAUUACUUACAUAUUCAUGUAAAAGAUUAUCACCAUAUGAAGAGAUCUCACGCGUAGACGCUCCUGGGACGCAACGAGAAGCAACCUGAUGGAAAGCUUUGCUAACUAAAGCACCAGCAUCACGAUACUUCGAAAAUUGGCUUGCAUCGACAACACGAGAGUUACUAUCAGAAGGAUCGAGCUCCAUAAUUCAAAUCAAAAAAUUAAGCAAAACUCGCACUUCAAACAGUAAAUCUGUUGAUAGUGCCUUUUGAAAAAAGUAUUUAAAAACUUUUGAUCGUUUACCAAAUUUAAAUACCGACUCGUUACAU